GCAUUAUACCGUGAAACUGCGAAUGGCUCAUUAAAUCAGUUAUCGUUUAUUUGAUAGUACCUUACUACUUGGAUAACCGUGGUAAUUCUAGAGCUAAUACAUGCUGAAAACCCCGACUUCGGGAGGGGUGUAUUUAUUAGAUAAAAAACCAACGCCCUUCGGGGCUUCUUGGUGAUUCAUGAUAACUUCACGGAUCGCAUGGCCUUGCGCCGGCGACGGUUCAUUCAAAUUUCUGCCCUAUCAACUUUCGAUGGUAAGGUAUUGGCUUACCAUGGUUUCAACGGGUAACGGGGAAUUAGGGUUCGAUUCCGGAGAGGGAGCCUGAGAAACGGCUACCACAUCCAAGGAAGGCAGCAGGCGCGCAAAUUACCCAAUCCCGACACGGGGAGGUAGUGACAAUAAAUACUGAUACAGGGCUCUUUUGGGUCUUGUAAUUGGAAUGAGUACAAUUUAAACCUCUUAACGAGGAACAAUUGGAGGGCAAGUCUGGUGCCAGCAGCCGCGGUAAUUCCAGCUCCAAUAGCGUAUAUUAAAGUUGUUGCAGUUAAAAAGCUCGUAGUUGAAACUUGGGCCUGGCUGGCAGGUCCGCCUCACCGCGUGUACUUGUCCGGCCGGGCCUUUCCUUCUGGAGAACCUCAUGCCCUUCACUGGGUGUGCUGGGGAACCAAGACUUUUACUUUGAAAAAAUUAGAGUGUUCAAAGCAGGCCUUUGCUCGAAUACGUUAGCAUAGAAUAAUAGAAUAAGACGUGCGGUCCUAUUUUGUUGGUUUCUAAGACCGCCGUA
Molecule: ribosomal RNA, 784 nt
Filed under: Boeremia exigua
Lineage: Eukaryota; Fungi; Ascomycota; Dothideomycetes; Pleosporales; Didymellaceae
Description: SSU rRNA
Rfam family: Eukaryotic small subunit ribosomal RNA
Source: RNAcentral